UCUGUCGGCUUGGAAAGAGGACGGCAGGGAGAGCCGACAUCAGAUGUCUGUUCUGGCAUCUGAUGCUCCUCAUCCACCCUGCUGCAUAUUCUGAGCACUUUCAGGAUUAAUUUUUUUUGUUAUUGUUUUUCACCCCCAAGAUUGAAUCCCGUUUCCAAUGAGCUGAACCAACAGAGCCAUGUGGCAGCAUCUCCCAUGCCUGGGAUGGCAGCGAUACACCUUGGUUACACAAGAAAAGGGCCGUUUCCAUUUGCAAUGCAUUCUGAAGUCCUCACCCUCAGAAGGCACAGAGCAUCUGUCUGCUUUGAGGGAACAGCUGUGCAUCCAUUUUGGAUAGCUUGGGGUGGGGCUACCGGCGGUCUGCACAAAACAAAGCUACCAGGAUCUGUGUUUCUCAGCAGACUCUCAGCCUUGGAAGAUAUUCCCUCAAACACUGCUGGGGAUGCGUUGCUCCUGCUGCCUCCUGGGUCAGUCGUGGAAGCUCUUCCAGGUCUUACCCACAGGAUGUUGGUAUCAGGGCACCUCCCAGACCGUGGCACAAUGGUUUUGAGACUUCUAACUUGGUUUGCUUAACUUCAGGUCUGUGUCAUUCACCCGACGCACAGAGCCUUGCCCUUUUGCCUUCCUGAGGAUCACUGUGACUCUGCUGUCUCCCUGCUCGUGCCAACCUCAGUAUUUUUCCUAAGAUAAAUGUAAGCCAUGUACCUGUCUGUCAGUCACUUCUUCAGGGAUACUGAAUCUAUGAAAAAGAAAAACCCGACCUUAAAUGACAUAUCAUACUAAACUGUCUCAUUACUUCCAAAGUGAGAUGAAAUGCCUUCUCUCUACGUAUUAUUUUUUACCCUAUGUCUCGGUAAUACUCUUCAUUCGUGGAAAUGGUUUUCAGACUGGAAGAUUAUAGACUGGUCAGAACCAAAGAAAAGGAGAGAAAGAUUUACUCCAAUCAUGUCAAAGGGACCUCAGUGAAUAUUAACUGAUAAAGUACACACCGAUCGCAGCACACCCUCAUCGCUCGCCUGUGCAUUUAUCCCACUUGAUGAAUGGGAGCAGUUUAUAGAACAGGCAGAAAUUGAUACGGAAGAGGUUUCUAUCUGGAAUGCACUGUAUAAAUUACUGGAUGCUUAUCUGUGAGUAAUUCGCCUGCAUAUGCUAACUGUCCAGACACUUGCAGCCUAUGGCAAAGACAUUAGAUAACCUUCGAUUCUCAAUUGCUGGGGGCAAUCUCCAUACUAAAUAAAUAGUUCAUCUGUUUUGGACACAAAUGAUGCAUCUGUUUGCAAGCAUCACAAAUUCUGGUCUAGAAAUGGAUACUUACACUAUACAUUAUUUUUUUUUUAAGCUGUCUUUCCUUCCUUUGUGCCUGCAAUUGGUGGCUGCACUUGAUGUAAUUUAGCAGCCCGCUACUCAUGCCUUGCCUGUUUUAUCCAGUGGGUUUCUGAUGCGCCUGUCUGGGUGCCUGUCAGGUGGAUGGACAGUUGAAGACAUGAUUUUUUUAUCUUGCUCCUUCUUGCUAUAUGUGCCCUGCUGAGGGGACAAAAUACUCUUGCUCAUGUAUUUGCCUGCAGUUAGGCAACUUUGCCUAUAGCUCUUUGCUGCUGCAGACCUAUGUGCUGCUCUGAAAAGGAAAUUUUUUUUCUACUGAGCUCUGCAGGCUCGAGACUGGAAUUCACCUGAGCAAGAAGUGAGGCUAGGAUGAAAAUUAAGCACAAGGGUGUAAAGAAAAGUGUUUCCCAUUGCUCAGACAGGUGAAUGACAAAUAUCACUCUCUUUCCAAAAUAACUCCCACUCCCCAGCUUAAUGCAGACAUUGCAUAGUGUUUGUUUGGCACAAGCUGGGUUUAUAGCUCUAUUUUCUAGAAAUAAAAUCGCUGUCUGCCUGAAAGCCAAAGCAGCUUUUGCUUUCCAAAGGAAUUACAUUGGCGCUCACAACCCAUCUCAGUCUGGUGCCAACUGAGUGCAAAUGAACCAGGACAAAAUUGGGUGCAUGGAGAGAAACCUCAGGGCUGCCUAAAGGCUCCAGGCAACUUGCAGAUCAAAACCAGAUGGUCUGGUGGUGCUGCUUCAAGCCCCCAGCCAGAGAUGCCUGUUUUGUGACCACCCAGCUCCUGAGCCAGGGAAAUUUCAGGAGCAAGCUCAGCAGAAGAGUCCACACCAGUCUCCUUGCCAUGGAAUGCACUGGAAAGUAUUAUUAAAACAUAGGUGUAAGACAAUGGCCAGCCAGCAGUAUUUUUUCUGCCUAGCAAGUGGUGCUGAUAAGUGCAAAUUCCCUUGGAAGUUAUCAGAGAAGCCGGCUGUGUUUGUUCGCUGGAUUUGUAUUUCUCAGCUGAAAGAGGUGCUGAUCCCAUGUCUCAUUCUUGGCACUGCCAACAUCCCUGGCAGAAAGCUGUGCUCAAAGCUGCCUGCUGGGAAAUACUCCAUUAAUCAAGUGCUGACAGACCUCCUCGCUACCUCUUCCCAUGACGGUCACACGUGUCAUUUUUGCUCUGGAAAGUCAUUCCUUGCAAUGCUGUGUGGCACAAGAGCAUCACCACGUGAGCAUCACCAGCAUGCCCACUGAACCAUAGGGCAAAGGGACAUCUCAGUGCCACAUCUCCACAGUUCUUGAACAUCUCCAGGGAUGGUGACUUCACCACCUCCCUGGGCAGCUGUGCCACUGCAUCACCACCCUUUCUGAGAAGAAAUUUUUCCUAAUAUCCAAUCUGAAUUCAUCUGUCAGCCGCCAGCUACUCACUCCACAGACCCAGUCAGUGCCACAUCAACCCUUGCAGUAUUGCAUGACUGGGACCUGGGUUGGACAAGCCCUUCUUUGCAUGCAUCCAUCGUGAUUUGCACACAUUUCUUAAGAUGCGUGAGUCCAGGCAGCAUCCAGUGCAGAAAGAAACUGAGAGCAAGUUUCCAUCUCCAUCUCAGCAACACAUCUGUCUCAAAGGAGAGAUUGUCCAGAUGCUAUUUCUGCCUCCUCACAGCUUGUUGCAGCAAGGACUCCCCCACUACCUUUCCCAGAGGACAACAGAGUUGCCUUCACGGUUUUCUAAAUUUGGCUUUAAUGAGUGCAAAAUAAAUAAGGUAGCAGGGGAACAUAAUCUGGUUAACAGAGCAGCAGCAGAAAGCGCAAGCUGUUGGCAUACGGCGAUGGAUUCUGAUUUCCUGCAACGAAUCCAUAGGAGCAUCACAAGGCCUCAAACAGAAACCUCAGUGGUUUGGUGGGGAUAUGGCUGGGCGUGAACCAGGCAGGUAGUCCUUAGUGAUGACAGCAGAGCCGUGUUUGCCUUGGG
Molecule: long non-coding RNA, 3274 nt
Organism: Lagopus leucura (white-tailed ptarmigan)
Lineage: Eukaryota; Metazoa; Chordata; Aves; Galliformes; Phasianidae
Exons: 2
Source: RefSeq, a predicted model, not a curated record